Molecule: ribosomal RNA, 751 nt
Filed under: Streptomyces sp.
Lineage: Bacteria; Bacillati; Actinomycetota; Actinomycetes; Kitasatosporales; Streptomycetaceae
Description: bacterial SSU rRNA
Rfam family: Bacterial small subunit ribosomal RNA
Source: RNAcentral
GGAUUAGUGGCGAACGGGUGAGUAACACGUGGGCAAUCUGCCCUUCACUCUGGGACAAGCCCUGGAAACGGGGUCUAAUACCGGAUACCACUCCUGCCUGCAUGGGCGGGGGUUGAAAGCUCCGGCGGUGAAGGAUGAGCCCGCGGCCUAUCAGCUUGUUGGUGGGGUAAUGGCCCACCAAGGCGACGACGGGUAGCCGGCCUGAGAGGGCGACCGGCCACACUGGGACUGAGACACGGCCCAGACUCCUACGGGAGGCAGCAGUGGGGAAUAUUGCACAAUGGGCGAAAGCCUGAUGCAGCGACGCCGCGUGAGGGAUGACGGCCUUCGGGUUGUAAACCUCUUUCAGCAGGGAAGAAGCGAAAGUGACGGUACCUGCAGAAGAAGCGCCGGCUAACUACGUGCCAGCAGCCGCGGUAAUACGUAGGGCGCAAGCGUUGUCCGGAAUUAUUGGGCGUAAAGAGCUCGUAGGCGGCUUGUCACGUCGGAUGUGAAAGCCCGAGGCUUAACCUCGGGUCUGCAUUCGAUACGGGCUAGCUAGAGUGUGGUAGGGGAGAUCGGAAUUCCUGGUGUAGCGGUGAAAUGCGCAGAUAUCAGGAGGAACACCGGUGGCGAAGGCGGAUCUCUGGGCCAUUACUGACGCUGAGGAGCGAAAGCGUGGGGAGCGAACAGGAUUAGAUACCCUGGUAGUCCACGCCGUAAACGUUGGGAACUAGGUGUUGGCGACAUUCCACGUCGUCGGUGCCGCAGC